This 243-nucleotide unclassified non-coding RNA is filed under the name Hevea brasiliensis (rubber tree). The record is from RNAcentral. Lineage: Eukaryota; Viridiplantae; Streptophyta; Magnoliopsida; Malpighiales; Euphorbiaceae.
CAAAAAACAAAAUUUCUGUUGAAGACAAUUGACAAAAAUAAUUUGUCACCGGCUCACCGUUCAUCAAUGGCCGAACCCAAUGUCCCGGGCGACCUGCUCAUAUGAUAAUGGCUAACAGAAUCAAAUGAAAUUCAAAUUCAGAGCCCCAGCUACAAGAAAUGGCGGCACCCAAGCUCAGGCUUCGCGAAGCCAUAGACUCGUUAUACAUUUACGGUCCUGCAACUCAUGAAUCCUACACUCGCC